CAGGACAUAGUUUAAUGAGAAUGUUGGCUUUGGGGGCCAUAGGUGGAGGAAGUCCUUCUGUCCUGA
Molecule: transfer RNA, 66 nt
Filed under: Synapturanus sp. MZUSP 159221
Lineage: Eukaryota; Metazoa; Chordata; Amphibia; Anura; Microhylidae
Description: tRNA-Pro
Rfam family: tRNA
About the family: Transfer RNA (tRNA) molecules are approximately 80 nucleotides in length.
Source: RNAcentral